Molecule: non-coding RNA, 2148 nt
Organism: Coturnix japonica (Japanese quail)
Lineage: Eukaryota; Metazoa; Chordata; Aves; Galliformes; Phasianidae
Source: RefSeq, a predicted model, not a curated record
AGCUGCCCUCCGUGUCCGUGUUGUCGCUGCCGGUGCUGGGCUCCCAGUCGGCUUCAUGGCGGCGGCCUGCGGGGGCUCUGCGGAGGGCGCGCUUCCUGGUAACGGGACCGAAUGGAAACAGCUCCUCGUGGGCAGAGCUGCACUCCUCGAACUGGAAUGGAACAAGGCAAAGUUGCUCUAAACCUCAAAGCAAGUUGCUCUAAAGCCUUGGAUCAAUGUUAUUAUCACACUAGACACGGCUGCUGUGUAAAGAUGGAGCCCUUCAAGGCUGAGGUGCUCUACAUGAUGAGCCCAUCUUGGGUUUGUUUGCAGCCCUGAAUCUAUUUCCAAGAAAUUAAGAGGAGAAAAUGGAAACUUGUGCCUUAAAAUGAUUAAGAAGAGCUGGUUGCUACCAUAGCCCAGCCCCUGGGAUGUGUGUAGAGCCUGCAUUGCAUCUGCUUGGGCCUGAAGCCUGCUAAAUCUAGUAAAUGUGUGUGUUUGGUGGCCCUGCUAGGCAGGGGGGUUGGAACUACGUGAUCCUUGAGGUCCCUUCCAACCCUGGUCAUUCUGUGAUAAAUCCAUUGUUAACAAGCACAUGAGUAAUUACAAACCCCAUUCAGACCAAAGAGAAUCAUUGUGGGCUCUUACAGUGGGCAACUCUGCAGGCAGAUUGCUUUCUCCAUUGCUGAACUGCUGGUUUUCGCCUUUGCAGCAUUCUUCUGAGAGAAAACAGAAAAGCAAAUCACAAUCUCAGUCACAGCUGCCAUGUUGAAGUAACUUCUCCUUCCACCAGUUCAUCACACGGCAAUAGCUGUCAUGUAAGAGCUGCCCAGCAGUAUACAGCAUCCACAGCAAGCCAAACCCAGGCCUUGAAACAUUCAGUAUUCAAUCUUGUGACCAUUGCACAAGACCCUGCUCAUUCUGCGUGACCUCUGAGUCUUGUUUAGACUGGAUGGAAUUCCCCAUAGGAUCACCAGACACCAUCUGUCUAAUUUCUGCUUGUGGAGAAGCAAAAUGAACCAGUGCAGAGCAGCACCUCUGCCUAAUGUCACUGAAAGAAUAAUGAUGGAGAUAACAAGAAGAAAUCCCACUAAACAUGAAUCACAGUUUGUUGGUGUUGGGCCACAGGGAAGAUGUGCACAUUCAGAUACUCAACAGAUCGUAUUUUAGCUCAACUCCUAAUGCAGUGAUCAGAUACUGUGAUAUGUCAUUCUGAUUUGGCUGAGGUAGGGUAAGAAAAGGCUUUGUUUCAGUGUGGCAGCUGCUGUGAAAAGUCUCCCAUCUCAGAGAAUGAUUGCUUAAUUCUUUCAGGUGAGGAUCUCUGCUUGAUUCCUUCCUUUUGGAACAUGUUUCAAAGGAGAAUCUCAAGCUUUAAAGGACCCUGUUUGCUCUUCUCUGUGCUGCUGAAUCAUUUCCACUGGGGCUGCCACAAGAACUGAACCAGGGACAGUGUUAAUUACAUGGUUCUGCUUUUGUGAAAAUAGCCUGCAACAUAAGAGAGAGGAAAGAAAUGUCUCUGGGGAAAGACAUGUGGUUGAGCUGGAGUGGAAGGAUGCUUGUUCCAUUCUCAGCUCAGCCACAAACACGAGAGGACUGUGUGAAGAAGAGGCAUCCAGGAGCUGCUUUUUGAAGGCAUUGUGUACCAGGUGAUUUUGGCUGGCCCAAUUCAGAAGGCAGUGCUCAAAUGUCUCAUUUAAUUCCACGAACUCUCAUACCCUGCUCCUAUUUCACCCAAAUGACCAAACCCUCAGUCAGUGGAUUCCUCUUCUGCACUAAAAGUGUCUGUUCCUGUCCCUCUGAACACUGGGAAACCCCAUCAAGAACCAUGCUGUAUGUUUUCCCCAGUAGAAACCUUACUUUCAGUCAGGUGUGUAUCUUCAUCUAGGUGAGCAUGAAGAGUAAGCUAUUGGGACACAAACAAAUUAAGAUCAUGAGAAGUACUCCAUAUUCUUUCUCAGACAAUAGCUAGGAACAAAUGCAGGAACACAGGACACAGGCAUAUAACCGACCUUCCCCCACUGCAUCUUGCUGUAAGCAAAACAGGAAACAUUCUGAACUAGAAGCUGUGUAUCUACACACAGACUUAUCCUCCAUGACUAUGGGCUCAUUCAUUUUGUCUCCAGACAAUGUGACAACCCCUACCACAGUUAUGAACUAAGCUGGAAAAAA